GAUCAAUUGAGUUUGGUACAUUAGGUAAAGCUGAAGGAAAUUAGUUUGGGGAUCUUGAAUUCAAUACACACCCUUCACUUUGGAAAUACACGAACAUGUGCACCUGCACCUUUUGGCAUGUCUGUUGAACAUAUAUUUAGUGAUAUUUAAUAUUUGAGUUUUCUGCAUGGUUUUAAACAUCAGCUGAUUUGCUUCACAUAGGCCAAUACAAAUUGGAUUGUUUGCCAUAUAUUAUAGGGUUCACAAUUUUGGGAUAGUGAAUUUCAGUUCUCAUUAUAGUAGCAUGUUAUGGCUGAUAUAGACUGAUAAAGACCAAUACAUGAUAGCCCACACGACCUUUAGGCAAAGGAGAUGAAGAAAAAGAAGAGAGAGAGGAUUAGGUAUGCCCAUAUAUGGGGUUGGAUAACUAGGAUUAGGCAUACCUGGGUAUGGACUAUCCUCUUCUGAUUUUGUCUGUACUAUUAUUAUCCUUGUAGUAAACUAUCAACAUGUUUUUCAAGAAUGGCAUUGAAUAUCCCAUAGUUAUCAUUUAUUUGUAAUUACCCAACCCAUCACCUGUUGCAAUCCCUGAUGACUCCAGUAGAAAUGGACCUAAAACAUUUGAUCCAAAAAUUUCAAACUAAAAAUUAAUUACCCUACCACUUCUUUGGGCCUUAAUUAAUGUGGGAUGGGUUGGGUGUGACAAUCUUCCAUCUCAA
RNAcentral lists this unclassified non-coding RNA (698 nucleotides) under Hevea brasiliensis (rubber tree). Lineage: Eukaryota; Viridiplantae; Streptophyta; Magnoliopsida; Malpighiales; Euphorbiaceae. The record is from RNAcentral.